This 712-nucleotide ribosomal RNA is filed under the name uncultured Cyphobasidiales. RNAcentral's name for it is "partial 18S ribosomal RNA". It matches the Rfam family "Eukaryotic small subunit ribosomal RNA", at positions 471 to 1196 of the family's 1831-position model. The record is from RNAcentral. Lineage: Eukaryota; Fungi; Basidiomycota; Cystobasidiomycetes; Cyphobasidiales.
GACAAUAAAUAACAAUAUAGGGCUCUUUUGGGUCUUAUAAUUGGAAUGAGUACAAUUUAAAUCCCUUAACGAGGAUCAAUUGGAGGGCAAGUCUGGUGCCAGCAGCCGCGGUAAUUCCAGCUCCAAUAGCGUAUAUUAAAGUUGUUGCCGUUAAAAAGCUCGUAGUCGAACUUCGGCCUCUGCCGCCCGGUCCGCCUAUUGGGUGUGUACUGGAGCGGUGGAGGCUUACCUCGUGGUGAGCAAUCAUACCCUUUACUGGGCRUGGUUGGGAACCAUGAUUUUUACUUUGAAAAAAUUAGAGUGKUCAAAGCAGGCUUACGCCCGAAUACAUUAGCAUGGAAUAAUAAAAUAGGACGUGCGGUUCUAUUUUGKUGGUUUCUAGGAUCGCCGUAAUGAUUAAUAGGGAUAGUUGGGGGCAUUCSUAUUCMAUUGCUAGARGUGAAAUUCUUGGAWUUAUUGAAGACGAACUACUGCSAAAGCAUUUGCCMAGGAWGUUUUCMUUGAUCAAGAACGAAGGUUAGGGGAWCGAAAACGAUCAGAUACCGUUGUAGUCUUAACAGUAAACGAUGCCSACUAGGGAUCGGAMGARGAUUUUUAAUGACUCSUUCSGCACCUGAAGAGAAAUCUUUAAGUCUAGGUUCGGGGGGGAAUAUGGKCGCAAGGCUGAAACUUAANGGAAUUGACGGAAGGGCACCACCMGGUGUGGAGCCUG